RNAcentral lists this ribosomal RNA (448 nucleotides) under uncultured bacterium. Its description in RNAcentral is "partial 16S ribosomal RNA". It matches the Rfam family "Bacterial small subunit ribosomal RNA", at positions 329 to 795 of the family's 1533-position model. The record is from RNAcentral.
CGCCAGACUCCUACGGGAGGCAGCAGUGGGGAAUAUUGCACAAUGGGGGAAACCCUGAUGCAGCGACGCCGCGUGAGUGAAGAAGUAUUUCGGUAUGUAAAGCUCUAUCAGCAGGGAAGAAAAUGACGGUACCUGACUAAGAAGCCCCGGCUAACUACGUGCCAGCAGCCGCGGUAAUACGUAGGGGGCAAGCGUUAUCCGGAUUUACUGGGUGUAAAGGGAGCGUAGACGGUAGAGCAAGUCUGAAGUGAAAGCCCGCGGCUCAACUGCGGGACUGCCUUGGAACUGCGCGGCUGGAGUGCAGGAGGGGCAGGCGGAAUUCCUGGUGUAGCGGUGAAAUGCGUAGAUAUCAGGAGGAACACCGGUGGCGAAGGCGGCCUGCUGGACUGCGACUGACGUUGAGGCCCGAAAGCGUGGGGAGCAAACAGGAUUAGAUACCCGUGUAGAU